RNAcentral lists this ribosomal RNA (120 nucleotides) under Boehmeria nivea var. tenacissima. RNAcentral describes it as "partial 18S ribosomal RNA". It matches the Rfam family "Eukaryotic small subunit ribosomal RNA", at positions 1716 to 1831 of the family's 1831-position model. Lineage: Eukaryota; Viridiplantae; Streptophyta; Magnoliopsida; Rosales; Urticaceae. The record is from RNAcentral.
CGCGGUGACGUGAGCGGUUCGCUGCCCGCGACAUCGCGAGAAGUCCACUGAACCUUAUCAUUUAGAGGAAGGAGAAGUCGUAACAAGGUUUCCGUAGGUGAACCUGCGGAAGGAUCAUUG